Molecule: transfer RNA, 65 nt
Filed under: Erragonalia choui
Lineage: Eukaryota; Metazoa; Arthropoda; Insecta; Hemiptera; Cicadellidae
Description: tRNA-Leu
Source: RNAcentral
UCUAAUAUGGCAGAUUAGUGCAAUGAAUUUAAGAUUCAUUUAUAAAUAUAAUUAUUUUAUUGGAA